AAAAGUGUGUGUAUGCGGAAGUUGGAGAAAACCCAGACUUCAUUGCUCGAUGAAGCAUGUAGCUUCGCAGUCGUACUUCUUGCACUCCUCCAUCUCUCGCAUCUCUUGCGCAUUGUGGUUCUCCAACACCUGCACAGCGGCGGUCUUGUCCGGAUUAGGGAUCGUCUACACCAGAUAAGCCACGGCGUUUUUCUCGGAGAAAAAUACCAUCCUUUGGUUCAACAACGGUUGCUGCGUUUUCCACGUUCGGAUACAACCCUGCCCAGUUGCUGUGAGAGAUUGACGAGUGCAAGAAGACCCUCUUUCCAUGUUCCAGACGCA
This 321-nucleotide microRNA precursor is filed under the name Physcomitrium patens. RNAcentral describes it as "Physcomitrella patens miR2083 stem-loop (ppt-MIR2083)". The record is from miRBase by way of RNAcentral. Lineage: Eukaryota; Viridiplantae; Streptophyta; Bryopsida; Funariales; Funariaceae.